Molecule: ribosomal RNA, 301 nt
Filed under: uncultured bacterium
Lineage: Bacteria
Description: partial 16S ribosomal RNA
Rfam family: Bacterial small subunit ribosomal RNA
Source: RNAcentral
CAGUCGCCGCGGGAAUACGUAGGGUGCGAGCGUUAAUCGGAAUUACUGGGCGUAAAGCGCACGUAGGCGGCUUGGUAAGUUAGAGGUGAAAGCCUGGAGCUCAACUCCAGAAUUGCCUUUAAGACUGCCGAGCUAGCAGGUGAGAGAGGUAAGUGGAAUUCCGAGUGUAGAGGUGAAAUUCGUAGAUAUUCGGAAGAACACCAGUGGCGAAGGCGGCUUACUGGCUCAUACUGGACGCUGAGGUGCGAAAGCGUGGGGAGCAAACAGGAUUAGAUACCCGCGUAGUCCCUGUCUCUUAUAC